UUUUCUUUCCUCUUCACGACGUUGCUCAAGGGAUUUUUCGUACCGUAUAAGAAAUUCACUAAGUGGUGCUUGAGAUGUCAAUAAUGUGCCAAAAUAUGAUUUCAAGCUCCCGUCCGUUGGAAUGCCAGCAAAGAAUGUGCCUUUAAUGUAUAACGGUACCCAGCUCUUCCGCAUCCUAUACAUAUCCUUCAACCAUGUGUUCUCUCUCAAAUUAUACUUGUUAAUAAGCACAUUCCAUGCUGCUUCAAACUCAUUAGCCGUCUGGCUCUGGAAAAUGGAAGUUUCAUAUUCAUACUUAAAUUCAGGAUUCAUCGAGAGUAAUGCACCAAUGUUUUCCUGCUCCUUAGCCACAACUUGCCAUGCAGAAAACCGAUGAUGUGUCCCGGGGAAAACUUGAGCAAUUGAAUGUUGAAUGACCCAGUCUUGAUCAGCAACUAUAGAGAUAGGACGACGCCCUGACAUUGCCCGAAGCCAAGCUUGGAACAACCAAGUAAAUGACUCUUCAGACUCUUCAGCAAUUAAGGCACAGCCAAGAAGUACUGGUUGCCUGUGGUGAUUAACCCCAAUGAAUGAAGCAAGUGGCACUGAGUAACUACCCCUUCUAUAGGUUGUGUCGAAAACAAUUGCAUCCCCAAACUGAGUGCAGGAGAAUCUAGACCGAGAGUCGGCCCAUAAUACACUCAUGGCUCUACCCUUAUGCAUUUCCACUGCAUAGAAAAAUCCCAUAUCGUCUGCUUGUCGAGCCUGAAAAUAGUCAAAAAGCUCAUUAUACCAAUCACUUCCAAUUUUACUCUCCCUGGAUCUUGUAACAAGGCUAAACCCUCCAUUUGAUUCAACUAAAUCCAUAUUCUCCAACCCAUGGCUUAAUUCUUCUUUGAAUCCUUUUGAUGACACUCUCUCACUAGCAUCAAUGGGAGCUCCAAGUUCAUGGUUAUGUUCGUUUUGAAAACGAUCAACCAACCACCUUCCUGAUUCUUGUCUCUGUAUCCUCAUGAAAGCUCCACACCCCACUCUCGACGGAUGCUGAUGCCCUUCUUUAGAGCAAACAAAUCUCCGCGAUGUAAUCGACCCAUCAUUCUUCGAACGAAACAGCUGACCAAUCCUAACUUUAAACCCAGUAUUAGCAGCAUGAGUAUGAUAAAACUCAUAUGCUUCAGCAGCAGAAACAAAUUCUAACCCCUUAUACGGUUCACUUCUAGUUUCUCCAUUGAUUUUCUCCCGUUUAAGACGCUUAAAAUCGAGAAUCCCAGAUGGGCCAUCCUCAUCAAGUGAUCUAAGUCCAGUCCUAGUUGAUACAACAAUAGAAGCUGAUUUUGAUUUCGGGGUUGGGGUUGGGGUAACAAUUUUUCUUUGAAUUCGAGAUGGGCAAAUCUCACCUGGAUGUUCAAGGUCAUGAUUGUGUUCCUUCUUUAUAUUAGCGAGAACCCAUUUGCCAGAAUCAAGCCUUUGCACUCUUAUGAAAGCUGGACAUCCCGUUCGUGAAGUAGUCUGAAACCCCUCUUUGGAACAAACGAAUCUCCGGGAAACAACAGACCCAUCAAUUCGAGAACGAUAGAGCUGACCAAUUCGAAUCCUAAAUCCAAUUUUCGUUGCAUAGAGAUUGUAAAACUCUUGUGCAUCUUCGGCUGAAUCGAACUCUAACCCCACAUUUGGUUCAAGCCUUGACUCUCCUUCUUCCUCAACAUCCCGAUGG
This 1693-nucleotide unclassified non-coding RNA is filed under the name Hevea brasiliensis (rubber tree). Lineage: Eukaryota; Viridiplantae; Streptophyta; Magnoliopsida; Malpighiales; Euphorbiaceae. The record is from RNAcentral.